GACGAACGCUGGCGGCGUGCUUAACACAUGCAAGUCGAACGGAAAGGCCCUUCGGGGUACUCGAGUGGCGAACGGGUGAGUAACACGUGGGUGAUCUGCCCUGCACUUUGGGAUAAGCCUGGGAAACUGGGUCUAAUACCGAAUAUGAUCAUCGGCUUCAUGGUCGGUGGUGGAAAGCUUUUGCGGUGUGGGAUGGGCCCGCGGCCUAUCAGCUUGUUGGUGGGGUAAUGGCCUACCAAGGCGACGACGGGUAGCCGGCCUGAGAGGGUGACCGGCCACACUGGGACUGAGAUACGGCCCAGACUCCUACGGGAGGCAGCAGAGGGGAAUAUUGCACAAUGGGCGCAAGCCUGAUGCAGCGACGCCGCGUGAGGGAUGACGGCCUUCGGGUUGUAAACCUCUUUCAGCACAGACGAAGCGCAAGUGACGGUAUGUGCAGAAGAAGGACCGGCCAACUACGUG
This 462-nucleotide ribosomal RNA is filed under the name uncultured bacterium. RNAcentral describes it as "partial 16S ribosomal RNA". It matches the Rfam family "Bacterial small subunit ribosomal RNA", at positions 28 to 507 of the family's 1533-position model. The record is from RNAcentral.